RNAcentral lists this unclassified non-coding RNA (291 nucleotides) under Hevea brasiliensis (rubber tree). Lineage: Eukaryota; Viridiplantae; Streptophyta; Magnoliopsida; Malpighiales; Euphorbiaceae. The record is from RNAcentral.
AUUUUACGGAAGCAGACAACGAAAACUAGUAGAAAGGAGAAAGCGGCUGUGGCAGCGGUGAGCGGAGGGAGAAGACGGGAAGAGAGAGGGCGGUGGUGGUUUGGGAAUUGGGUAGGAGAUGGUGUAGCUACAGGGGGGGAAGUGACAAAUAACGGUGGGGAUUCCGGCAGCGGUGGAGGAAUGGAACGAGAUGGCAUGGUGAGAAAGGUGAAGAAAGACUAGAAGGAAGAUUUCAUGGGGGUUGUUGUAUUGAGGAGGUUGUGUAGUGGAAAUGAUUUUUCUGCGUCCUCC